GGGAGUUUGACAGGUGAAGAGACCUCUUCCAGGCAGAGGGAACAAAAUAAGCCACAGUCCUCAUCCUUGAACCAGGUGAGAACUUCUAGCUUACCGGGUAAAGUCCAAUUAACAUGGUGCAGAAUUCCAUCCAUGGCAGGGCUCCUGCUGUCUCCAGCCUCAUCUCCAGGCACCCCCUGCACCCUUGAAAAGACAAUGCUUCCGUGUCCACCAAUUCAUUCCUUCCACUCAUAUUUGUUAUGCACCUGACGGUGUCUAGCUCAGGUCUCAGAUCCUGGAAAAGGACAAGGAAGCCCCAGAGUCUGCUUUUUUGACACUUACCUUCUAGUCCCCCUGAAAAAUCAUGCAGCAUCACGCCUGCACAUUGUUCUUUCUGCAGAAAUGUCCUGUCUCCCCAUCUCUAUCUGCCAAAGACCCAGCGUAAUGCAAACAAUUCAGGUUUCACCCUUUGCAGUGAACUUUGUACAGCUCUCCUAGAGCCGUGGAGUCUAGGUCUAUGCCCAAGAGAGAUGCAUGAAAUGUUUUACUGGUUUCUGCAAAUAAGCCAGACCAAGGGAGAAACAGACCUUCAGCAAGUAGUAAUCAAAUGCAAGUUUUGAGAAUGUGGAGGAAGAGGAGCUUCUGCCCCUGCAAACUGGGCAGUGCAUCCAAGGUCUCCUGCUAACAUCUGUCACUCAUCGGAGCCACCUGAUCUGAAGCGUUGUCAGGGUCAGUAUUUUUGUUCUGCCUGCUCUGUUUUGCUAAUGGAUCAAUGGCAGUCAGUAAAGAACAAACCGUGCCAGGAAAGAAUGUCCUCUUCUUCUCAGCUGACUCAGCUCGGGACAGGAAGACAGGGGGCAUCUGGCAUUUGGGGAAGCCCUUGAUUGUCCCUUAGGAAAUAACUGAAAAUGGAUUUGUGCUGGCCUGGUUCUAAGAAGGUCACCCAGGAUGAAUUUGAAAAGCAGAGGCACUGUGUCCACAAAAGAAAGUGAUAAGCAACAAGCCAUUUCUCAGAGCUAAUGUGCCCGAGUGUGUACCACCGGGAUCCGUUUUAUAUCUACAGAUUGGUGUGUUUUUCAUGACAACCAUCCCCAUAGCAACCAGGUGUCCAGGCACUAAAUGGAUCUCAAGGAUAUGAAAUCUCAGCCUGGUGAGGGAAGCCCACUCUGACUGCAGUUUCCUUGGAGUCGUUUCAUACUGAGGGCUGGUGUGCAGGUCAGGGGGAAUGGGGCUUCUUCCUGAGCGCCCAGCUGGACACAAGGGACAGCCCUGGUGCGAUGGGAGCCU
RNAcentral lists this long non-coding RNA (1266 nucleotides) under Pongo abelii (Sumatran orangutan). RNAcentral's name for it is "lincRNA". Lineage: Eukaryota; Metazoa; Chordata; Mammalia; Primates; Hominidae. The record is from RNAcentral.